GAUGAACGCUGGCGGCGUGCCUAAUACAUGCAAGUCGAGCGAAUGGAUUAAGAGCUUGCUCUUAUGAAGUUAGCGGCGGACGGGUGAGUAACACGUGGGUGACCUGCCCAUAAGACUGGGAUAACUCCGGGAAACCGGGGCUAAUACCGGAUAACAUUUUGAACCGCAUGGUUCGAAAUUGAAAGGCGGCUUCGGCUGUCACUUAUGGAUGGACCCGCGUCGCAUUAGCUAGUUGGUGAGGUAACGGCUCACCAAGGCAACGAUGCGUAGCCGAGCUGAGAGGGUGUUCGGCCACACUGGGACUGCGACCCGGCCCAGACUCCUACGGGAGGCAGCAGUAGGGAAUCUUCCGCAAUGGACGAAAGUCUGACGGAGCAACGCCGCGUGAGUGAUGAAGGCUUUCGGGUCGUAAAACUCUGUUGUUAGGGAAGAACAAGUGCUAGUUGAAUAAGCUGGCACCUUGACGGUACCUAACCAGAAAGCCACGGCUAACUACGUGCCAGCCGCCGCGGUAA
RNAcentral lists this ribosomal RNA (515 nucleotides) under uncultured bacterium. RNAcentral's name for it is "partial 16S ribosomal RNA". It matches the Rfam family "Bacterial small subunit ribosomal RNA", at positions 28 to 523 of the family's 1533-position model. The record is from RNAcentral.